This 66-nucleotide transfer RNA is filed under the name Pila virens. RNAcentral describes it as "tRNA-Tyr". Lineage: Eukaryota; Metazoa; Mollusca; Gastropoda; Architaenioglossa; Ampullariidae. The record is from RNAcentral.
UACUAGAUGGCCGAAACCUAGGCAAUAGACUGUAGUUCUAUUUAUGGAGUUAAGUUUCCUCAGUAA